AGAGUUUGAUCCUGGCUCAGGACGAACGCUGGCGGCGUGCUUAACACAUGCAAGUCGAACGGAAAGGCCCCUUCGGGGGUACUCGAGUGGCGAACGGGUGAGUAACACGUGGGCAAUCUGCCCUGCACUUCGGGAUAAGCCUGGGAAACUGGGUCUAAUACCGGAUAGGACCUUUAGACGCAUGUCUUUUGGUGGAAAGCUUUUGCGGUGUGGGAUGGGCCCGCGGCCUAUCAGCUUGUUGGUGGGGUGACGGCCUACCAAGGCGACGACGGGUAGCCGGCCUGAGAGGGUGUCCGGCCACACUGGGACUGAGAUACGGCCCAGACUCCUACGGGAGGCAGCAGUGGGGAAUAUUGCACAAUGGGCGCAAGCCUGAUGCAGCGACGCCGCGUGGGGGAUGACGGCCUUCGGGUUGUAAACCUCUUUCACCAUCGACGAAGGUUCGGGUUUUCUCGGAUUGACGGUAGGUGGAGAAGAAGCACCGGCCAACUACGUGCCAGCAGCCGCGGUAAUACGUAGGGUGCGAGCGUUGUCCGGAAUUACUGGGCGUAAAGAGCUCGUAGGUGGUUUGUCGCGUUGUUCGUGAAAUCUCACGGCUUAACUGUGAGCGUGCGGGCGAUACGGGCAGACUAGAGUACUGCAGGGGAGACUGGAAUUCCUGGUGUAGCGGUGGAAUGCGCAGAUAUCAGGAGGAACACCGGUGGCGAAGGCGGGUCUCUGGGCAGUAACUGACGCUGAGGAGCGAAAGCGUGGGGAGCGAACAGGAUUAGAUACCCUGGUAGUCC
This 785-nucleotide ribosomal RNA is filed under the name uncultured bacterium. RNAcentral describes it as "bacterial SSU rRNA". It matches the Rfam family "Bacterial small subunit ribosomal RNA", at positions 8 to 796 of the family's 1533-position model. The record is from RNAcentral.